GAUGAGCCCGCGUUGGAUUAGCUAGUUGGUGGGGCCAAGGCCUACCAAGGCGACGAUCCAUAGCUGGUCUGAGAGGAUGAUCAGCCACAUUGGGACUGAGACACGGCCCAAACUCCUACGGGAGGCAGCAGUGGGGAAUAUUGGACAAUGGGCGCAAGCCUGAUCCAGCCAUGCCGCGUGAGUGAUGAAGGUCUUAGGAUUGUAAAGCUCUUUCACCGGGGACGAUAAUGACGGUACCCGGAGAAGAAGCCCCGGCUAACUUCGUGCCAGCAGCCGCGGUAAUACGAAGGGGGCUAGCGUUGUUCGGAAUUACUGGGCGUAAAGCGCACGUAGGCGGAUAUUUAAGUCAGGGGUGAAAUCCCGGGGCUCAACCCCGGAACUGCCUUUGAUACUGGGUAUCUUGAGUGUGGUAGAGGUGAGUGGAAUUGCGAGUGUAGAGGUGAAAUUCGUAGAUAUUCGCAGGAACACCAGUGGCGAAGGCGGCUCACUGGACCACAACUGACGCUGUGGUGCGAAAGCGUGGGGAGCAAACAGGAUUAGAUACCCUGGUAGUCCACGCC
Molecule: ribosomal RNA, 560 nt
Filed under: uncultured bacterium
Lineage: Bacteria
Description: bacterial SSU rRNA
Rfam family: Bacterial small subunit ribosomal RNA
Source: RNAcentral